GAGUUUGAUCUUGGCUCAGAUUGGACGCUGGCGGCAGGCCUAACACAUGCAAGUCGAACGGUAACAGAACUAGCUUGCUAGUUGCUGACGAGUGGCGGACGGGUGAGUAAUACUUAGGGAUCUGCCUCUGUGUGGGGGAUAACUAUUGGAAACGAUAGCUAAUACCGCAUAACGUCUACGGACCAAAGAGGGCUUCGGCUCUCGCGCAGAGAGGAACCUAAGCGAGAUUAGCUUGUUGGUGAGGUAAAGGCUCACCAAGGCGACGAUCUCUAGCUGUUCUGAGAGGAAGAUCAGCCACACUGGAACUGAGACACGGUCCAGACUCCUACGGGAGGCAGCAGUGGGGAAUAUUGCACAAUGGGGGAAACCCUGAUGCAGCCAUGCCGCGUGUGUGAAGAAGGCCUUCGGGUUGUAAAGCACUUUCAGUUGUGAGGAAAGGUUAGUAGUUAAUACCUGCUAGCUGUGACGUUAACAACAGAAGAAGCACCGGCUAACUCCGUGCCAGCAGCCGCGGUAAUACGGAGGGUGCGAGCGUUAAUCGGAAUUACUGGGCGUAAAGCGCACGCAGGCGGUCUGUUAAGCUAGAUGUGAAAGCCCCGCGCUCAACGUGGGAGGGUCAUUUAGAACUGGCAGACUAGAGUCUUGGAGAGGGGAGUGGAAUUCCAGGUGUAGCGGUGAAAUGCGUAGAGAUCUGGAGGAACAUCAAUGGCGAAGGCAACUCCCUGGCCAAAGACUGACGCUCAUGUGCGAAAGUGUGGGUAGCGAACAGGAUUAGAUACCCUGGUAGUCCACACCGUAAACGCUGUCUACUAGCUGUUUGUGGAUUUAAUCCGUGAGUAGCGAAGCUAACGCGAUAAGUAGACCGCCUGGGGAGUACGGCCGCAAGGUUAAAACUCAAAUGAAUUGACGGGGGCCCGCACAAGCGGUGGAGCAUGUGGUUUAAUUCGAUGCAACGACGAGAGAACCUUACCUACUCUUGACAUACUAGAAACUUUCAGAGAUGAAUGGUGCUCGGAAUCUGAUAR
RNAcentral lists this ribosomal RNA (1025 nucleotides) under uncultured Glaciecola sp. Its description in RNAcentral is "bacterial SSU rRNA". It matches the Rfam family "Bacterial small subunit ribosomal RNA", at positions 9 to 1034 of the family's 1533-position model. The record is from RNAcentral. Lineage: Bacteria; Pseudomonadati; Pseudomonadota; Gammaproteobacteria; Alteromonadales; Alteromonadaceae.